CCUACGGGUGGCAGCAGUGGGGAAUAUUGGACAAUGGGCGAAAGCCUGAUCCAGCCAUGCCGUGUGUGUGAAGAAGGCCUUCGGGUUGUAAAGCACUUUCAGUGGGGAAGAAAGCCUUGGGGCUAAUACCCUCGAGGAAGGACAUCACCCACAGAAGAAGCACCGGCUAACUCCGUGCCAGCAGCCGCGGUAAUACGGAGAGUGCGAGCGUUAAUCGGAAUUACUGGGCGUAAAGCGCGCGUAGGCGGUCUGAUAAGCCGGUUGUGAAAGCCCCGGGCUCAACCUGGGAACGGCAUCCGGAACUGUCAGGCUAGAGUGCAGGAGAGGAAGGUAGAAUUCCCGGUGUAGCGGUGAAAUGCGUAGAGAUCGGGAGGAAUACCAGUGGCGAAGGCGGCCUUCUGGACUGACACUGACGCUGAGGUGCGAAAGCGUGGGUAGCAAACAGGAUUAGAUACCCGGGUAGUC
RNAcentral lists this ribosomal RNA (465 nucleotides) under Vreelandella stevensii. RNAcentral's name for it is "partial 16S ribosomal RNA". It matches the Rfam family "Bacterial small subunit ribosomal RNA", at positions 338 to 795 of the family's 1533-position model. The record is from RNAcentral. Lineage: Bacteria; Pseudomonadati; Pseudomonadota; Gammaproteobacteria; Oceanospirillales; Halomonadaceae.